Podarcis lilfordi (Lilford's wall lizard) is the source of this 6003-nucleotide non-coding RNA. NCBI's taxonomy places the organism in Eukaryota, Metazoa, Chordata, Lepidosauria, Squamata, Lacertidae. The record is from the annotation of a GenBank genome assembly.
GAGAUCGAAACAUAAUCAUCCUUACUAAAGCAUUCACUUUCUGUAUUUCUCUUCAGGAAAUUUCUAAUAUUCUGUUUAAUCGAAACAGCAAGUGUAUAAAUCAACUGUGCAAUUAAGUGGCCACUUUCAGAAUAAGUCUCACAUCUUGUGUUUCAGCCCCAGAUGUUUCUAGGCUCCAAUAUUUGCCCUGCCUAUAUAUUUACAGCUCAAUUUCUGUCCAUAUGCACUUGUCCAUAAAUGCUUUAUGUUCCAUUUACACUCAGACAACUGAGCCACUUAUGGAAUAGAAUGAUUUUGGCUUCAGUGAUGGCAAAUGUGACAGAGGAUGACUUUGCUUUUAGAGACCUUACAAUCCCAUUUCCAAAACAAAACAAACAAAAAUUGUAUGUGGUCCAGAUUUUAGGACUGAAUAUUCUGAUCAAUGAACAACUUCUUAAAAAUGCAAGAAGAGGAGGAGGUGGGGUUAUAUACUCAGCAUUUUUUUAACGAGGUUUGUACUUUGUACUAGAUUAUUUUAAUGCUGUGUUACUGCAAACCAGUACACUAACCCCCCGCCCUGCAACCUCGGCAUAUAUUUUGAUCUUGCUCUCCCUCCCCAUACUCCUUUCCUUAUGUGAAACUAAACAAAUUGAAAAUAAUGAUUCGUAACCAUCUGCAGGGCUGAAAUUCCACGUACAGCAGUUAACUCCAUUUUACAAAACAGCUCCAAUCUAGUGAAUUAUGGUGCAGUUCUUGUGUGCCAGCAAAUAGCAACAAGCAGUUUAGAGUUCCUCUGGACAAAGACAUGCAGCCAGCAUUUCAUUAUGCCUAGUCACUUUGUGUAGUGGGAGGGGGUGGCGCGGGAGAGAAAGAAAGAGAGGGAGGGAGGGAUAGAGAGAGAGGACGAACGAAAGAACGAACAAGCCCCUAUACACAAUUCAAAGUAAUGCAUUUUGAAAUGGAGUGAAACCAUUACCUAACUGCUUAAUUUGAUCAGAAAGGGGUGGGGUUGAUCUAUAAAAUCAUACGCAGAAGGGAGCCGCAGAGACAUGUGCGUGUCUGUUGACAUCAACAUUUCUGUAGUAUAGACAAACCACUUUUGGAAGUCCAAAUAUAAGGGAGUACAAUGCAAUAAUGUGUUACUACUACUAUCAAAAUAUUUACGUGCUGGUGUGUGAAUUCCGGGAUAUUGUGCUACACAUUCCUUUAAGUGGCCAAGUAAGCUUAAUGUACUUAUCAAGUGACAUUUAUGGUUUUUUUUUAAUUGGAUUAAAGCACACUUUUUAAAAUGGGUACUUUUAAAAAAUCUACAUUUGUUUUUUUCUGUGUUUUUUUUUAAAAUAAAUAUGCUGUUGGUUUAUUUUGAUCUUAGUUUUGAUGGUAUAGAAUGAAAGUUGCUUAAAACCAGCAAUAUAUUGAGUCCAGGGGGAUCUAUCCAGUCCAUAAAUUCUCUGGUGUCUACUGGAUUUUUCAUCAGGGAGACUUCCAAUAAAAAUGAUCUAUUUUAGAAAUAAUAUUGUUUAGUAGGUUGAAAUGUGGUGUAAUAAAAUUAGACCUUCAGUCUUCCAAAGUUACUACUUAGAUGGAACCCUUGGGAUGGCAAAAUGGCUGUAUAAGCAGAUGAAUCAGACAGUUCUACUGAUGGAUACAUUUGUCAGUCUCUGUUACGGAUAUAAUAUAUUCUCAUAUCUGUAAUCCUGACACUGUUACAUCCAAAUGAAAUCAACAUGAGGUUGUCAUCUUUAAGCAAAUAUGUUAAGUGUUGUCUUUUGUGCUGUGGAUUUGAAAGAAAGGGGCCCAAGGGAGCCAGCAUCAUGCAAAUGGAACAAAUCCCAUUUCUUCUGAGCUGUGCUGUUUUCCCCCUCCUUCAUGGCAGCUGGCUGUGUUAUCUUUGUGUGUUUCUCUGAGUGCUGACAAUUCUUUCAGUGAUCUAAGUUAGGGCACAUUAGAAAGUGGAAGCAGCUGUCUGUCGCUAUACUGAGAGACGUGUUUGCUCUACUGCAAAGAUGAAGGACCAUGAAUCCUUGACACACACACACACUUCCCCCUCCCCUCCCCUCCUUUUUUUUUUUUUUUUUUUACUUUCCAACAUGAUCAACAUUCAGACACACAGAUUGUCUGCUUGGACAGUUUUUUGUUCUGACUGACAGCAUCUGGCAUAGACAAAUUUAAAAAUACAUAGCAUGCCAUGCUUGGAAUUGGAACAUCCCUUUCUUUAUUAAUCUACUCAUUUAAAGCAUUCAUUCACAUUUCACUAAGGGUUAAACUUGAUAUGGCUGGAACGUUUAUUUUCAACGAAUAAGCUCCUAAUGAAAUACCUUGAAUGAACUCCAAACAGCUAGAGCAUAUAUUUUUUAAAAAAUUAACACCUGAUUAAUGUGGGCCUCGGACGUGGAUGGAAAGUGUAGGUUUGUCUUAGAUACACAGUUGAUUAAAAUGGCAGGGAUGUUGAAAUUUUAUUUUUAGCAUUGAGGUAAAUAAAAAUGAUUUGUUUCAGCACUCAGCAUAUUUUCUGUGAAAUGAAUUGUCCUUCAGGAUACUGUUUGUCUAACUGGAUCUACUACUAGUAGAAAAAUAAUUUGUUGUUCAUAAUUUUAAGAACUAAACAAUUUGUGCUUUAGUGAAACAUAAAAAUUAGAUGAUUCUGACAUUAAAUAUACAAUUAGUAUAUGUUGCUUGUAUAUGUUGCUUUUAGUAAGGCAAAUACGCUGUGGAAUACGCCCCUCCCUACCCCCACGUUUGUUACGUACACUUAUCUCCACAAUGCAGUUUAGCAACGCAGACAUGCUUAUUUAGUCUUUAUGUAAUAAUAUCAUGGACAUUGACUAUACCAGGCCGGAUCUGAACUGUGUGCGUGUUUUAAGGCCUUUGUGUACGUUACAUUUUUAGACCAUUUGAUGAUCCUUAUUCUGGCUUGCAGCAUUUAACUCUGUGUAAUACAGUGAUGGAGAGUGGGAAAGCGUUGCUUCAUGGAUAGUACAGUGUUCUACUAAAAUGGACGAGACAACUAUUUAAGUGCCUAGCAGCAAAUACAGUAUGUGUUGGGGUUUUCUUUUUUUAAGCCUAUGCUCAUUCAGGGGGUGGGGGGAGUGAGAUGCAGCAGCAGACAAGGUCUGUUAAUUGUGAGGAGACAAGACUUGUAUUCCUUGGAUAGACACAGGAGAGGGCACUUGCUUUAGGAUAAAUUCUGACAAAUUUCAGAUGCAGAUAUCCAGGCUGAAAUAAAGAAAUGAUAAAAGACAAUAAUAGUUGCAACCCAAAUAGGGUUUAUGUUUUAGUUGUGCCCCAAUAGUUCACGUUUAGCCUUUUAGAAAUGGAUCUUUUUGGAAAUGUAUUUUUAAACAUUUCCAUAGGAAGGCGGCUGUUUGUGUGUAGCUGGGCAGAAGAUCACAGUCUAAACAUUUAUAUCUGUAGGGCUGUGAGGAUAGUCCUCUGAAAAAUAUUUGGCUUUUAGCUUGAAAUAUUUUCUAUUAUUUUCCCUUCAUUGAUCUGUUUCGGAUAUAGUAAUUCUAUUGAUUUGGUUUUUCAGCGUUUCUGAAAGUGUUCUAUCUUUUAUAUUCACAUCAAUUCAAAUGUAUAAAUCAGCUUUCACUGUAAAACUUUUGAAAAUCCCGUCAUUGUUUUUACACAACUGAUGUGGUUUGUGUAAACUUCCAUCUCCACACUCUAGUAGUUAAAAGAGAGGAGUGCAUAUUUGCAUCUGUAAGCAAACUGGGAAUAGGUUGGAGUACACAAUUCCCUGGUGGAAAAGGAAGGUUUAGCAGUAAUGCUUUUAAUCUGGACUUGUAGAGGAUUCAGGAGCAUCCAUAGAUCUGCUCCAGUAAUUACCAUACCCCAAGUGGCACCACCAGAGACAUUUGCCUAAAAACUUGAUGUCUUCAUUACACUGUUUACAUUUUAAUUAGAAACAUGAAAAUUUACUGAUUCAUGCGAAUCACUGUAGUUUAAGUGGGUUCGUUCUCUAUCCAAUAAAUCAUUUAAUAAUAAAAAAGAGCCCUGCAGUCAGCAUAUGUAGUUUACUGAGAAUCAUUCAUGGGAAUAAUGUGUUAGCAUUAUAAGCUGCUUUUAAAAUAUGUUUUAUUUUAUUUUAUCAGAGGUAGAAUUUGCAUAUAAAUUAGAGAAUGGCAUUUUAAAUUGGCUGUCAUUUAUGCAUGAUACUACACAUAUGCAAAUUACACGUGUGCAUAAUAUAUGCACGCAUACCAGGGUGUCAGACUUAAAUGUCUAAUGCAGAAAAAAACACAAGCACACACUACAGAUGAAUGCUUAACAUGAGCUUUGUAUGUGCUAAACAGAAGAAGCCAGUGCUCCACUUCUACUCUCAUUCAUAUAGACUUGAUUGUAUGUGUGUCCUUGCUGUUGGUGUAUAAAUAGAGAUGUAAAACACACACCAUGUAUAUGUAUAUUAUUUCCCCUUGACUUUUGCAUGUACCUGUCAGCACUAGUGCCCUAAAACAACUCCCGCUAGGAGCAAGCUGGCCUGACGCAUUGGUGCCUGUCAGUGUCCAUCCCUGAGUCAGCAGCAUGUCCAUUGCUUGAAUCGUGCGACAAUCACUCAUCCAGUUUUUUCCCUCCCCAGGGGGGCAACCAUCCUCCUCAUCACGGAGAAUGACCCUUCUGUCUGGCAUGCUCAAGAUCCUGAAUCUCCCCACAUCAGUGUGUGAGUUCAAUUCCCUACUCCUGAAGGCAGAGCUGGGAUUCUAGCUAAUGACUCAGAGAUACAGAGGGUCAAUGCACUGCUGAUCUGGAGUACUGAGCCAUCGCACCAGUUUAGUUGUACAUUUCCUUAUUUUCUCUCUGGCCACACCAACUCCCUGUUUCUCCCCCUUUAUAAUAAAUUGUGUUUUAUGGGAAGUUAAAUAGAAGCACCCCACCCCCAAUUUUCACUUGGGCUGAUAACUGAUUUCUGGCAGGAAAUGUAGAGGAUAUUUGGCAUUUUGCUUACAAAAGAGCUCUUGUGCUCUGCUUUUACACUGCCCUUGUUUUUGUUGGUUGCUUCUUCAUGUAAGGAUGGAAGACCUAUGGCAAGAGAGUUGCUAUUACUAGUCUGGCAGCUUGUGGUUGAUUUAAUUUUAAUGGCAUUUACGUAAUUCUAUUUUGUAAAAAUAAAAUCUCUCGUAAACAUUGUCUUCCCUCUGAUCUGUCUGUCUAUCUAUCUAUCUAUCUAUCUAUCUAUCUAUGAAUACAACUAAAAUUGCCUGCAUCAGAUACAUACUUGACUCCUGCUUGAUCAAGUAUGGUUGCCAUUCUAUAUAUAAACACUCAAAUGGAAGCGAGCUCCAUGUAGAUCUGUGGAGCUUACUUCUGAGUAAACAAGCAGAUAAUUUCAUUGUAGACUUGUUUUUCUUUUCCUUACACAAUAUGCGGUUUAAAUGUACUAAUGCAUUUUGUGGUUGUUUUUAAUGGCUUUUUAAUAGCUCACACAUUCGAAGUUCAUUAUUCAUCUAAAUAGUGUAAUAUUUAAAUUCAUUAGAGAAAGUUGUGAACUAUUUUAAUUUUAUUGCAGUGCAACAAGGACCAACCAACCUCUUGAGGCCUUGUGGCUUUUUAAAAGGGUUUUUUAAUAUAUAUAUAAAGAUGUACUCUGUUUUGUUUUUCAAAUAAAUACUUUCAGGCUGCAGCGUUCUCACAAGCGCUUGUUAUAGCAUAGAUGUGACAAAUGAAAAGGAACAGUUUACACAUAGUCAAAGCUUGUAGAUGCUUUCUAUAUAUUGCAUAAUUCUAAUGUGGUGUCAUCAUCCCUUCUCUGGCUGCCAAUCCUUCCAUCCAUCUCCAUCCCUUCUAGCUCUAGCAAAUUUGAAGCUUUGAGUUUAAGCAUUUUAGUGAAAUUUACUUCAAAGUAAGCAUGCCAGGGAUUGGGACUACAAAGCUUUGGUCUCACACACACACACACCACCUUUCUUUUUCCAACCAUAAUGUGAUGUUGAUGGAGUUUUGUGUGGUGAAUGAAGCUGGCUGGCUGGCUGCCAGCCAUCGACUAUGAAAUCCUGGGUACCUGAGAGCUUAUCAGUUCUUUUGCUUUGU